GAUGAACGCUAGCGGCAGGCUCAAUACAUGCAAGUCGUGGGGCAGCGCAGUGUAGCAAUACAUGGGCGGCGACCGGCAAACGGGUGCGGAACACGUACACAACCUUCCUUCAAAUGGGGAAUAGCCCAGGGAAACUUGGAUUAAUACCCCGUAACAUUAUGAGGUGGCAUCACUUAUAAUUAUAGCUCCGGCGUUGGAGGUGGGUGUGCGGCUGAUUAGGUAGUUGGCGGGGAACGGCCACCAAGCCUUCGAUCAGUAACUGGUGUGAGAGCACGACCAGUCACACGGGCGACUGAGACACGGGCCCGGACCUCCUACGGGAGGCAGCAGUAAGGAAUAUUGGGCAAUGGACGCAAGUCUGACCCAG
This 367-nucleotide ribosomal RNA is filed under the name uncultured bacterium. RNAcentral's name for it is "bacterial SSU rRNA". It matches the Rfam family "Bacterial small subunit ribosomal RNA", at positions 28 to 391 of the family's 1533-position model. The record is from RNAcentral.